GCCCAGAUAGCUCAGUCGGUAGAGCGCGUCCUUGGUAAGGACGAGGUCACCGGUUCAAACCCGGUUCUGGGCUCCA
Molecule: transfer RNA, 76 nt
Filed under: bacterium
Lineage: Bacteria
Also listed under: 2 other names
Description: tRNA-Thr
Rfam family: tRNA
About the family: Transfer RNA (tRNA) molecules are approximately 80 nucleotides in length. Their secondary structure includes four short double-helical elements and three loops (D, anti-codon, and T loops). Further hydrogen bonds mediate the characteristic L-shaped molecular structure. tRNAs have two regions of fundamental functional importance: the anti-codon, which is responsible for specific mRNA codon recognition, and the 3' end, to which the tRNAs corresponding amino acid is attached (by aminoacyl-tRNA synthetases). tRNAs cope with the degeneracy of the genetic code in two manners: having more than one tRNA (with a specific anti-codon) for a particular amino acid; and 'wobble' base-pairing, i.e. permitting non-standard base-pairing at the 3rd anti-codon position.
Source: RNAcentral